Molecule: ribosomal RNA, 497 nt
Filed under: uncultured bacterium
Lineage: Bacteria
Description: partial 16S ribosomal RNA
Rfam family: Bacterial small subunit ribosomal RNA
Source: RNAcentral
GAUGAACGCUGGCGGCGUGCCUAAUACAUGCAAGUCGAGCGAACAGACGAGGAGCUUGCUCCUUCGACGUUAGCGGCGGACGGGUGAGUAACACGUAGGUAACCUACCUAUAAGACUGGGAUAACUUCGGGAAACCGGAGCUAAUACCGGAUAAUAUUUCGAACCGCAUGGUUCGAUAGUGAAAGAUGGCUUUGCUAUUACUUAUAGAUGGACCUGCGCCGUAUUAGCUAGUUGGUAAGGUAACGGCUUACCAAGGCAACGAUACGUAGCCGACCUGAGAGGGUGAUCGGCACCACUGGAACUGAGACACGGUCCAGACUCCUACGGGAGGCAGCAGUAGGGAAUCUUCCGCAAUGAGCGAAAGCCUGACGGAGCAACGCCGCGUGAGUGAUGAAGGUCUUCGGAUCGUAAAACUCUGUUAUUAGGGAAGAACAAAAGUGUAAGUAACUGUGCACGUCUUGACGGUACCUAAUCAGAAAGCCACGGCUAACUACGUG